RNA transcript from Hypanus sabinus (Atlantic stingray), 2176 nucleotides. It is a transcript of the gene named leucine-rich repeat-containing protein 72, with no coding region annotated. Lineage: Eukaryota; Metazoa; Chordata; Chondrichthyes; Myliobatiformes; Dasyatidae. The transcript has 10 exons. The record is from RefSeq and is a predicted model, not a curated record.
CUGGAAAUGCUGAGCGCACUGUGGACAAACAGCACUGCACCGGGUACAAGAACCGGCCGGACGCCACUGACCACACGCAGGGUCAGCCAUAUGCACCGGCCAGCGCCCCGAACCCCGAGUGUGACGUCACGUCGCCGAGCAACCGCUUCCAAACACAAGAUGGCGGCGGCAGAGGUUCUGGGAAAUCAAUUAAAACUCUACAAAAUCAGAAAAAAUAGUGAUGUAAUUGAACUUUAUCUGGCCAAAAAAAGACUAACAGAAGUUCCUGACUUGUCAAGAUUUAAACAGUUGAAGUACUUGUGGUUAAAUCACAACAAGAUUAAGAAGAUAAGUUCCUUGACAAUGAAUUACUGCCUCAAAGAGCUAUACUUACAAAACAACCUGCUCACUGAUGUAACAGAUACUCUGAAACACUUGACAAACUUGGAGAUAUUGAUGCUACACAACAAUUGGCUUACUAAGUUGGAGAAGGUCGUAACAGAAUUAAAGAAAUUGAUGUGGUUGCACACAUUAAAUCUAUUCAAUAAUCCUUUGACACAAGAUCAAGAUUAUCGCCUGUAUGUCAUCUACCAUCUGCCUUCAGUGCAGCUGCUUGAUAGAAAAUACAUACUCCAGAGGGAACGGGAUGUGGCAUUCAGUUUCUGCAACCAAGACCGAAUGCGAAUCCGACAAUCUUUGGCAUUUGGGCAGAGGAUACAUACUCAAUUACAUAAACAGACAGCACCAAAGAAAAAUAAUUAUACAUAUCCAGGUUCAAUGAUACCAGUUCCUCAUCAGAAAGUGAAGUAAAGGAAACUACGGAGGCAUGAGAGAGGAACUGGCCAAGUUGAUUGGACGGGGACACGAGCAGGGUUGAUGGCAGAACGGCAAUGUUUAAGCAACAGUUUAAGACAAGAUAAGUGCCCAUGGUAUUACAGGAAAGAUACCAGCAUGAACAAAAGACUGAAGGCAAAGAAUGGAGUUAAAGGGGGCCUUAUCUGGUUGGCUGCUGGUGACUAUUGGUGUUCUGCAGGGGUCAGUGUUGGAACAAGGAAUCUGCAGAAGGACAUAGACAUAUUAGGAAAAUGGGAAAAGAAGUGGCAGAUAGAAUAUAGUGUAGGGAACUUAUGAACUUUGGUGGAAGAAAUAAAGAUGUAGGCAAUUUUCUAAAUGAGAAGAAAAUUCAUAAGUCAAAGAUGCAAAGGGACUUGGGAGUCCUUGCGCAGGAUUCCCUAAAGGUUAUCUUGCAGGUUCAGUCAGUGGUAGAGAAGGCAAGUGUAAAGUGAACUAUUUCAGGAGAAUUAGAAUAUAAAAGCAAGGAUGUAAUGCUGAGGCUUUAUAAGACAAUGGUCAGACAGCACUUUGAAUAUUGUGAGCAGUUUUGAGCCCCUUAUCUAAGAAAGGAUGUGCUUGCAUUGGAUAAAGUCCAGAGGAGGUUCAUGAGAAUGAUUGCAGGAAUGCAAGGGUUCAUGUAUAAGGAGCGUUUGAUGGCUCUGGACCUGUACUUGCUGGAGUUUAGAAGAAUGGGGGGGGGGGAAGAGUCUUAUGAAAAUGUAUUGAGUAUCGAAAGGCCUAGAUAGAAUGGAUGUGGUGAGGAUGUUUCCUAUAGUGGCCGAGCCUAGAAGCAGAGUGCACAGCCUCAGAACAGAAAGACAUUCCAUUAGAACAGAGAUGAAGAGGAAUUUCUUUAGCCAGCAGGUGGUGAAUUUGUGGUAUACUGUUUGGGCAACAGCUGUGGAGGCCAAGUUAUUGGGUAUAUUUAAAAUGGAUGUUGAUAGGUCCUUGAUGAGUAAGGAUGUCAAAGGUUGAAGGGAGAAGACAGGAGAAUGGGGGUGAGAGAGAAUGAUGAAAUGGUGGAGCAGACUCAAUGGGCCGAAUGGCCUAAUUCUGCUCCUUUGUCUUAUGGUCUUACUAAGUAGUUUUGUUAACCAUCUUCCUAAAGCAUCACCUUUUUACCUUAGUACUUUUGAAAUAGCAUAAGACUACAUGCUAUACUAGUCUCUCUACUGUAUAGACUGUCCUAAAGAAAAACUUGAUUUUAUUUCAGGUAUUCUCAAGAAAAUGAAAAAAAAGAUUAGUGAAACUUCAAAAGAGGAAGCUGUUGAACGAGUAAGGAAAAUAUCAGAAAUGAAGUUUUCCACUUUUAACUGGAACAAACUACCUAAUGCACAGCAGAAGCACCUGGGAGAUGAAAAUG